Molecule: ribosomal RNA, 640 nt
Filed under: Escherichia coli
Lineage: Bacteria; Pseudomonadati; Pseudomonadota; Gammaproteobacteria; Enterobacterales; Enterobacteriaceae
Description: partial 23S ribosomal RNA
Rfam family: Bacterial large subunit ribosomal RNA
Source: RNAcentral
GCUUGACACUGAACAUUGAGCCUUGAUGUGUAGGAUAGGUGGGAGGCUUUGAAGUGUGGACGCCAGUCUGCAUGGAGCCGACCUUGAAAUACCACCCUUUAAUGUUUGAUGUUCUAACGUUGGCCCCUAAUCGGGGUUGCGGACAGUGUCUGGUGGGUAGUUUGACUGGGGCGGUCUCCUCCUAAAGAGUAACGGAGGAGCACGAAGGUUGGCUAAUCCUGGUCGGACAUCAGGAGGUUAGUGCAAUGGCAUAAGCCAGCUUGACUGCGAGCGUGACGGCGCGAGCAGGUGCGAAAGCAGGUCAUAGUGAUCCGGUGGUUCUGAAUGGAAGGGCCAUCGCUCAACGGAUAAAAGGUACUCCGGGGAUAACAGGCUGAUACCGCCCAAGAGUUCAUAUCGACGGCGGUGUUUGGCACCUCGAUGUCGGCUCAUCACAUCCUGGGGCUGAAGUAGGUCCCAAGGGUAUGGCUGUUCGCCAUUUAAAGUGGUACGCGAGCUGGGUUUAGAACGUCGUGAGACAGUUCGGUCCCUAUCUGCCGUGGGCGCUGGAGAACUGAGGGGGGCUGCUCCUAGUACGAGAGGACCGGAGUGGACGCAUCACUGGUGUUCGGGUUGUCAUGCCAAUGGCACUGCCCGGUAG